UUUCCGUAGGUGAACCUGCGGAAGGAUCAUUACUGAGUUAAGGUCUUCAUGGCCCGACCUCCAACCCUUUGUUUAAUCUACCAUGUUGCUUUGGCAGGCCCGCUUAGAAAUGGGCCGCCGGAGACCUUUGAGUCUCUGGUCAGUGCCUGCCAGUAGUCUUUCUAAAUUUAUUUAUAACCGUGUCUGAAUAUACAAAGAAAAUUUAAAUUAAAACUUUCAACAACGGAUCUCUUGGUUCUG
RNAcentral lists this unclassified non-coding RNA (240 nucleotides) under plant metagenome. RNAcentral's name for it is "partial contains small subunit ribosomal RNA, internal transcribed spacer 1, and 5.8S ribosomal RNA". The record is from RNAcentral.